GAUGAACGCUGGCGGCGUGCCUAAUACAUGCAAGUCGAGCGAACGGACGAGAAGCUUGCUUCUCUGAUGUUAGGGGCGGACGGGUGAGUAACACGUGGAUAACCUACCUAUAAGACUGGGAUAACUUCGUGAAACCGGAGCUAAUACCGGAUAAUAUUUUGAACCGCAUGGUUCAAAAGUGAAAGACGGUCUUGCUGUCACUUAUAGAUGGAUCCGCGCUGCAUUAGCUAGUUGGUAAGGUAACGGCUUACCAAGGCAACGAUGCAUAGCCGACCUGAGAGGGUGAUCGGCCACACUGGAACUGAGACACGGUCCAGACUCCUACGGGAGGCAGCAGUAGGGAAUCUUCCGCAAUGGGCGAAAGCCUGACGGAGCAACGCCGCGUGAGUGAUGAAGGUCUUCGGAUCGUAAAACUCUGUUAUUAGGGAAGAACAUAUGUGUAAGUAACUGUGCACAUCUUGACGGUACCUAAUCAGAAAGCCACGGCUAACUACGUG
This 497-nucleotide ribosomal RNA is filed under the name uncultured bacterium. RNAcentral's name for it is "partial 16S ribosomal RNA". It matches the Rfam family "Bacterial small subunit ribosomal RNA", at positions 28 to 507 of the family's 1533-position model. The record is from RNAcentral.